Molecule: microRNA precursor, 109 nt
Organism: Lupinus angustifolius (narrow-leaved blue lupine)
Lineage: Eukaryota; Viridiplantae; Streptophyta; Magnoliopsida; Fabales; Fabaceae
Source: Rfam
UAGUUAUUGUGAUAUUGGCUUGGUUCACUCAGACAAAUACUGCACUUUUGUUUUUUCUGAGUGUGGGUUUUGGUUUUGAUUGAGCCGUGCCAAUAUCUCACUGCUAUUU